This 830-nucleotide ribosomal RNA is filed under the name uncultured Verrucomicrobiota bacterium. RNAcentral describes it as "bacterial SSU rRNA". It matches the Rfam family "Bacterial small subunit ribosomal RNA", at positions 97 to 873 of the family's 1533-position model. The record is from RNAcentral. Lineage: Bacteria; Pseudomonadati; Verrucomicrobiota.
GGCGUAAGGGUGCGUAACACGUGGGAAAUCUGCCAAGAAGUGGGGGAUAGCUCGCCGAAAGGCGAAUUAAUACCGCAUGUGGUCAGCGAAGACAUCUUCGCGAAACCAAAGCCGGGGCAACCUGGCGCUUCUUGAUGAUCCCGCGGCCUAUCAGCUAGUUGGCGGGGUAAAAGCCCACCAAGGCUAUGACGGGUAGCUGGUCUGAGAGGACGACCAGCCACACUGGAACUGAGACACGGUCCAGACACCUACGGGUGGCAGCAGUCGAGAAUUUUUCUCAAUGGGGGCAACCCUGAAGGAGCGACGUCGCGUGGAGGAUGAAGGUCUUCGGAUUGUAAACUCCUGUCAUUAGGGAACAAAUCUUCCAAGUAACUACUGGAAGUCUGGUAGUACCUGAAGAGGAAGAGACGGCUAACUCUGUGCCAUCAGCCGCGGUAAUACAGAGGUCUCAACCGUUGUUCGGAUUCAUUGGGCGUAAAGGGUGCGUAUGCGGCGGAGUAAGUCAGGUGUGAAAUCUCGGGGCUCAACCCCGAAACUGCACUUGAUACUGCUUCGCUCGAGUACUGGAGAGGAGACUGGAAUUUACGGUGUAGCAAUGGAAUGCGUAGAUAUCGUAAGGAAGACCAGUGGCGAACGCGAGUCUCUGGACAGUUACUGACGCUAACGCACAAAUGCCACGGGAGCAAACGGGAUUAGAUACUCCUGUAGUACUGGCAGUAAAGGUGCAUGUUUGGUGUGGAAGGAUUCGCCCCUUCCGUGCCAGAUCUAAGUGUUAACAUGCCUACUGGCAGAACUUUCGUAUAUUGAUACUCGAUGAUUGACUGGAAUGG